RNAcentral lists this ribosomal RNA (252 nucleotides) under uncultured bacterium. RNAcentral's name for it is "partial 16S ribosomal RNA". It matches the Rfam family "Bacterial small subunit ribosomal RNA", at positions 524 to 776 of the family's 1533-position model. The record is from RNAcentral.
UACGGAGGAUGCGAGCGUUAUCCGGAUUUAUUGGGUUUAAAGGGUGCGUAGGCGGGCUGUUAAGACAGCGGUCAAAUGUCGGGGCUCAACCCCGGCCUGCCGUUGAAACUGGCGGCCUCGAGUGGGCGAGAAGUAUGCGGAAUGCGUGGUGUAGCGGUGAAAUGCAUAGAUAUCACGCAGAACUCCGAUUGCGAAGGCAGCAUACCGGCGCCCGACUGACGCUGAGGCACGAAAGCGUGGGUAUCGAACAGG